This 373-nucleotide ribosomal RNA is filed under the name uncultured prokaryote. Its description in RNAcentral is "bacterial SSU rRNA". It matches the Rfam family "Bacterial small subunit ribosomal RNA", at positions 526 to 896 of the family's 1533-position model. The record is from RNAcentral.
CAUAGGCUUCAAGCGUUGUCCGGAUUUAUUGGGAGUAAAGAGUUCGUAGGCGGUCGAGUAAGUCGGGUGUGAAAAUUCUGGGCUCAACCCAGAGACGCCACCCGAUACUGCUUAACUUGAGAUCGAUAGGGGAGUGGGGAAUUCCUAGUGUAGCGGUGAAAUGCGCAGAUAUUAGGAGGAACACCGGUGGCGAAGGCGCCACUCUGGAUCGAUACUGACGCUGAGUAACGAAAGCAUGGGUAGCAAACAGGAUUAGAUACCCUGGUAGUCCAUGCGGUAAACGGUGGGCACUAGGUGUGGGUUUCUAUUAACGAAAUCCCCGCCGUCGCUAACGCAUUAAGUGCCCCGCCUGGGGAGUACGGUCGCAAGACUA